UUAAGUGAAUAAGGGCGCACGGUGGAUGCCUUGGCACUAGGAGCCGAUGAAGGACGGGACUAACACCGAUAUGCUUUGGGGAGCUGUAAGUAAGCUAUGAUCCAGAGAUUUCCGAAUGGGGGAACCCAACAUCUUUAAUAGGAUGUUACGAUUGUGUGAAUACAUAGCACAUUCGAGGUAGACGCAGAGAACUGAAACAUCUAAGUACCUGCAGGAAGAGAAAGAAAAUUCGAUUCCCUGAGUAGCGGCGAGCGAAACGGGAAAAGCCCAAACCAGCAAGCUUGCUUGUUGGGGUUGUAGGACUCCAAUAUGGUAGUUCUUUCAGAUAGUCGAAUGACUUGGAAAAGUCAGUCAAAGAGGGUAAAAACCCCGUAGACGAAAUGUGGAAGACACCUAGGAGGAUCCUGAGUACGGCGGAACACGAGAAAUUCCGUCGGAAUCCGGGAGGACCAUCUCCCAAGGCUAAAUACUCCCUAGUGACCGAUAGUGAACCAGUACCGUGAGGGAAAGGUGAAAAGCACCCCGGAAGGGGAGUGAAAUAGAACCUGAAACCGUGUGCCUACAACAAGUCAAAGCCCGUUAAUGGGUGAUGGCGUGCCUUUUGUAGAAUGAACCGGCGAGUUACGAUUGCAUGCGAGGUUAAGUUGAAGAGACGGAGCCGCAGCGAAAGCGAGUCUGAAUAGGGCGUUUGAGUAUGUAGUCGUAGACCCGAAACCAUGUGAUCUACCCAUGUCCAGGUUGAAGGUGCGGUAAAACGCACUGGAGGACCGAACCCACGUACGUUGAAAAGUGCGGGGAUGAGGUGUGGGUAGCGGAGAAAUUCCAAACGAACUUGGAGAUAGCUGGUUCUCUCCGAAAUAGCUUUAGGGCUAGCCUCGGAAUUGAGAAUGAUGGAGGUAGAGCACUGUUUGGACUAGGGGCCCAUCUCGGGUUACCGAAUUCAGAUAAACUCCGAAUGCCAUUCAUUCAUAUCCGGGAGUCAGACUGUGAGUGAUAAGAUCCAUAGUCGAAAGGGAAACAGCCCAGACCACCAGCUAAGGUCCCAAAAUAUAUGUUAAGUGGAAAAGGAUGUGGGGUUGCACAGACAACUAGGAUGUUGGCUUAGAAGCAGCCACCAUUUAAAGAGUGCGUAAUAGCUCACUAGUCGAGUGACCCUGCGCCGAAAAUGUACCGGGGCUAAACAUAUUACCGAAGCUGUGGAGUACACCUUUAGGUGUAUUGGUAGGAGAGCGUUCUAAGGGCGUUGAAGGCAGAUCGUGAGGACUGCUGGAGCGCUUAGAAGUGAGAAUGCCGGUAUGAGUAGCGAAAGACAGGUGAGAAUCCUGUCCACCGAAUGACAAAGCUUUCCUGGGGAAGGCUCGUCCGCCCAGGGUUAGUCGGGACCUAAGCCGAGGCCGACAGGCGUAGGCGAUGGAUAACAGGUUGAUAUUCCUGUACCCGUUGUUUUUGUUUGAGCAAUGGAGGGACGCAGGAGGCUAAGGAAUGCAGACGAUCGGAAAUGUCUGUCCAAGCAGUAAGUCUGAAGAGGAGUCAAAUGCUUCUUUUCUUAAGGACAAGCUGUGAUGGGGAGGGAAAUAAUAGUACCGAAGUUCCUGAUGUCACACUGCCGAGAAAAGCUUCUAGUGAGAAAACAGCGGCCCGUACCGCAAACCGACACAGGUAGUCGAGGAGAGAAUCCUAAGGUGAGCGAGAGAACUCUCGUUAAGGAACUCGGCAAAAUGACCCCGUAACUUCGGGAGAAGGGGUGCUGAUCAUACGAUCAGCCGCAGUGAAUAGGCCCAAGCGACUGUUUAUCAAAAACACAGGUCUCUGCUAAAUCGUAAGAUGAUGUAUAGGGGCUGACGCCUGCCCGGUGCUGGAAGGUUAAGAGGAUGAGUUAGCGCAAGCGAAGCCCAGAAUUGAAGCCCCAGUAAACGGCGGCCGUAACUAUAACGGUCCUAAGGUAGCGAAAUUCCUUGUCGGGUAAGUUCCGACCCGCACGAAAGGCGUAACGAUUUGGGCACUGUCUCAACGAGAGACUCGGUGAAAUUUUAGUACCUGUGAAGAUGCAGGUUACCCGCGACAGGACGGAAAGACCCCAUGGAGCUUUACUGUAGUUUGAUAUUGAGUGUCUGUACCGCAUGUACAGGAUAGGUAGGAGCCGUAGAAAUCGGAACGCUAGUUUCGAUGGAGGCGCUGGUGGGAUACUACCCCUGCGUUAUGGCCACUCUAACCCGCACCACUGAUCGUGGUGGGAGACAGUGUCAGAUGGGCAGUUUGACUGGGGCGGUCGCCUCCUAAAAGGUAACGGAGGCGCCCAAAGGUUCCCUCAGAAUGGUUGGAAAUCAUUCG
RNAcentral lists this ribosomal RNA (2331 nucleotides) under human gut metagenome. RNAcentral's name for it is "bacterial LSU rRNA". It matches the Rfam family "Bacterial large subunit ribosomal RNA", at positions 1 to 2344 of the family's 2925-position model. The record is from RNAcentral.